UUAAUGUAGAAGAACACACCUGACAUCCAACCCCAUUUAAGAUCUUUGUGAUAAACUGGGACACUUUUUAUGUAAUGUUUCACUGCUAUGAGAACCAAAAACCAAAUUCCAUUUGAAUGGAUUUCUCAAAUCUUGGACAAAUAAAACCAAAACUACACAGAUGCCUCUCGAGAAACACUACAUCCCAAACUACGACCUCCCUGCUUGACAUCUCAUAACACAGACAGACUGCUAAUCACCACUGAAGCUGAGACUAAAGGCACUCAGCAGCCGUCAUCUGGAGAGGCUCCAACCUCUAAAGUACCAAACAAAGUAUAUACUUGUGUCUCUGGAGGCCACAGUACACGUUACAGCAGACAGGUUGAUCCAGGUUGAAGACAUUAUUUCCACUGAGGGACGGAGUUCAGUCAGUAUGUGUGAUGAUUGUUUUUAGAGGUAUUAGGAGCUGUGGCAUGAUUCUGGCUUUGGGCGGCUGACAUAGUGCAGGCCACAUCGCAGGUGUGUGUGUUUUUUUUCUG
Long non-coding RNA from Micropterus dolomieu (smallmouth bass), 518 nucleotides. RefSeq lists it as uncharacterized. The record is from RefSeq and is a predicted model, not a curated record. The transcript is spliced from 3 exons. NCBI's taxonomy places the organism in Eukaryota, Metazoa, Chordata, Actinopteri, Centrarchiformes, Centrarchidae.